This is a non-coding RNA of Danio rerio (zebrafish), 286 nucleotides long. NCBI's taxonomy places the organism in Eukaryota, Metazoa, Chordata, Actinopteri, Cypriniformes, Danionidae. The record is from RefSeq and is a predicted model, not a curated record.
ACACAGACAUCACAACUGGUUUGGCUGCCAUUUUUGCCAGCUACUAUAAUUUCAAUCUGAAGUAUGCAGAAGAGGCUUCGUGCACUCUGGAAUUUAUCCAAAGGUGCUUCUUGGGCAUCAAUCCAGAGACUGGUGCGAAGUCUAAAAAGCAGAGAGGAAACAUCAACCAGUCCGUGUGUACACUUGUUAGGAAAAUAAUAGACUUUGAAUGGUUGUCAGUGUAGCUUGCGUACUGCGUUUAACAGCAUACAUGUAAAGAUGGAUGUUUCAUAUAUUUGUGAAUAUG